UACGAAGGGGGCGAGCGUUGUUCGGAUUUACUGGGCGUAAAGGGCGCGUAGGCGGCCUUGUCAGUCAGGCGUGAAAGCCCCGGGCUCAACCUGGGAACGGCGCUUGGGACGGCGAGGCUGGAGUUCGGGAGAGGAGAGUGGAAUUCCCAGUGUAGAGGUGAAAUGCGUAGAUAUCAGGAGGAACACCGGUGGCGAAGGCGGUUCUCUGGGCCUGAUCUGACGCUGAGGAGCGAAAGCGUGGGGAGCGAACAGG
This 253-nucleotide ribosomal RNA is filed under the name uncultured bacterium. Its description in RNAcentral is "partial 16S ribosomal RNA". It matches the Rfam family "Bacterial small subunit ribosomal RNA", at positions 524 to 776 of the family's 1533-position model. The record is from RNAcentral.